GAUGAACGCUGGCGGCGUGCCUAAUACAUGCAAGUCGAGCGAACAGAUAAGGAGCGUGCGCCUUUGACGGUAGCGGCGGACGGGUGAGUAACACGUGGGUAACCUACCUAUAAGACUGGAAUAACUCCGGGAAACCGGGUCUAAUGCCGGAGAACAUGUAGAACCGCAGGGUUCUAAAGUGAAAGAUGGUUUUGCUAUCACUUAUAGAUGGAGCCGCGCCGUAUUAGCUAGUUGGUAAGGUAACGGCUUACCAAGGCAACGAUACGUAGCCGACCUGAGAGGGUGAUCGGCCACACUGGAACUGAGACACGGUCCAGACUCCUACGGGAGGCAGCAGUAGGGAAUCUUCGGCAAUGGGCGAAAGCCUGACGGAGCAACGCCGCGUGAGUGAUGAAGGUCUUCGGAUCGUAAAACUCUGUUAUUAGGGAAGAACAAAUGUAUAAGUACCUGUGCCCGUCUUGACGGUACCUAAUCAGAAAGCCCCGGCUAACUACGUG
Molecule: ribosomal RNA, 497 nt
Filed under: uncultured bacterium
Lineage: Bacteria
Description: partial 16S ribosomal RNA
Rfam family: Bacterial small subunit ribosomal RNA
Source: RNAcentral